AUUGAACGCUGGCGGCAUGCCUUACACAUGCAGGUCGAACGGCAGCACGGGAGCAAUCCUGGUGGCGAGUGGCGAACGGGUGAGUAAAGUAUCGGAACGUGCUCAGUCGUGGGGGAUAACGUAGCGAAAGUUACGCUAAUACCGCAUACGAUCUAUGGAUGAAAGCGGGGGAUCGCAAGACCUCGCGCGAUUGGAGCGGCCGAUAUCAGAUUAGGUAGUUGGUGGGGUAAAGGCUCACCAAGCCGACGAUCUGUAGCUGGUCUGAGAGGACGACCAGCCACACUGGGACUGAGACACGGCCCAGACUCCUACGGGAGGCAGCAGUGGGGAAUUUUGGACAAUGGGCGAAAGCCUGAUCCAGCCAUGCCGCGUGCAGGAUGAAGGCCUUCGGGUUGUAAACUGCUUUUGUACGGAACGAAAAGGUUUGGCCUAAUAAGCUGAGCUCAUGACGGUACCGUAAGGAUAAGCACCGGCUAACUACGUGCCAGCAGCCGCAGUAA
RNAcentral lists this ribosomal RNA (500 nucleotides) under uncultured bacterium. RNAcentral's name for it is "partial 16S ribosomal RNA". It matches the Rfam family "Bacterial small subunit ribosomal RNA", at positions 30 to 523 of the family's 1533-position model. The record is from RNAcentral.